Molecule: ribosomal RNA, 764 nt
Filed under: uncultured bacterium
Lineage: Bacteria
Description: bacterial SSU rRNA
Rfam family: Bacterial small subunit ribosomal RNA
Source: RNAcentral
AUUCCAAGCUUGAGUUUGAUCCUGGCUCAGAGUGAACGCUGGCGGCAGGCCUAAUACAUGCAAGUCGAACGGCAGCACAGUGGAGCUUGCUCCAUGGGUGGCGAGUGGCGGACGGGUGAGGAAUACAUGGGAAUCUGCCCAGUCGUGGGGGAUAACGUAGGGAAACUUACGCUAAUACCGCAUGCGCCCUUCGGGGGAAAGCCGGGGACCUUCGGGCCUGGCGCGAUUGGAUGAGCCCAUGUCGGAUUAGCUAGUUGGCGGGGUAACGGCCCACCAAGGCGACGAUCCGUAGCUGGUCUGAGAGGAUGAUCAGCCACACUGGAACUGAGACACGGUCCAGACUCCUACGGGAGGCAGCAGUAGGGAAUAUUGGACAAUGGGCGCAAGCCUGAUCCAGCCAUGCCGCGUGAGUGAAGAAGGCCCUCGGGUUGUAAAGCUCUUUUGUCCGGAAAGAAAAGCAUCGGGUUAAUACCCCGGUGUUCUGACGGUACCGGAAGAAUAAGCACCGGCUAACUUCGUGCCAGCAGCCGCGGUAAUACGAAGGGUGCAAGCGUUACUCGGAAUUACUGGGCGUAAAGCGUGCGUAGGUGGUUCGUUAAGUCCGAUGUGAAAGCCCUGGGCUCAACCUGGGAAUGGCAUUGGAUACUGGCGGGCUAGAGUGCGGUAGAGGAUAGUGGAAUUCCUGGUGUAGCAGUGAAAUGCGUAGAGAUCAGGAGGAACAUCCGUGGCGAAGGCGACUGUCUGGACCAGCACUACACUAGCAC